GGGGAAUCUUGCGCAAUGGGCGAAAGCCUGACGCAGCGACGCCGCGUGAGUGAUGAAGGCCUUCGGGUUGUAAAGCUCUGUGGGGAGAGACGAAUAAGUAGAAGCGAACACCUUCUAUGAUGACGGUAUCUCCUUAGCAAGCACCGGCUAACUCUGUGCCAGCAGCCGCGGUAAGACAGAGGGUGCAAACGUUGUUCGGAAUUACUGGGCGUAAAGCGAGUGUAGGCGGUCUCGUAAGUCGGAUGUGAAAGCCCUGGGCUCAACCCAGGAAGUGCACUCGAAACUGCGAGGCUAGAGUACUGGAGAGGUUGGUGGAAUUCUCGGUGUAGAGGUGAAAUUCGUAGAUAUCGAGAGGAACACCGGUGGCGAAGGCGGCCAACUGGACAGAUACUGACGCUGAGACUCGAAAGCGUGGGGAGCAAA
RNAcentral lists this ribosomal RNA (423 nucleotides) under uncultured bacterium. RNAcentral describes it as "bacterial SSU rRNA". It matches the Rfam family "Bacterial small subunit ribosomal RNA", at positions 356 to 772 of the family's 1533-position model. The record is from RNAcentral.